Molecule: ribosomal RNA, 119 nt
Filed under: Pteropus alecto (black flying fox)
Lineage: Eukaryota; Metazoa; Chordata; Mammalia; Chiroptera; Pteropodidae
Source: RNAcentral
GUCUACGGGCAUGCCACCCUGAACAAGCCCGAUCCCAUCUGAUCUCGGAAGCUAAGCAGAGUCGGGCCUAGUUAGUACUUGGAUGGGAGACCACCUAGGAAGACCAGGUGCUGUAGGCA